UCCCUGAUAGCUCAGUUGGUAAAGAAUCUGCUUGCAAUGCAGAAGAACCCGGUUUGAUUCCUGGAUUGGGAA
This 72-nucleotide transfer RNA is filed under the name Bos taurus (domestic cattle). It matches the Rfam family "tRNA". Rfam says of the family: Transfer RNA (tRNA) molecules are approximately 80 nucleotides in length. Their secondary structure includes four short double-helical elements and three loops (D, anti-codon, and T loops). Lineage: Eukaryota; Metazoa; Chordata; Mammalia; Artiodactyla; Bovidae. The record is from Rfam by way of RNAcentral. RNAcentral also lists the same sequence under 1 other name.